This 180-nucleotide non-coding RNA is filed under the name Spartinivicinus marinus. Its description in RNAcentral is "6S / SsrS RNA". It matches the Rfam family "6S / SsrS RNA". From Rfam's summary of the family: E. coli 6S RNA was the first non coding RNA to be sequenced, but its function was unknown until recently. The record is from Rfam by way of RNAcentral. Lineage: Bacteria; Pseudomonadati; Pseudomonadota; Gammaproteobacteria; Oceanospirillales; Zooshikellaceae.
AGCUCCCUGCUCUGUUGGCCAGUCAUGAAUGUCCCUGAGCCGAUAAUUUAGGAACUGGAGGCUCCUUGCAGGUGUCGGCGUGCAAGUCCGCUAUAGGCGGAAAGCCCAAAACAUCUCAGCAGCCACCACCUUGAACCUAGGGUUCAAGGGCCCAAUUGACAGCGGCGGAUUGGGGGGCGG